This 771-nucleotide ribosomal RNA is filed under the name Triticum aestivum (bread wheat). Its description in RNAcentral is "partial small subunit ribosomal RNA". Lineage: Eukaryota; Viridiplantae; Streptophyta; Magnoliopsida; Poales; Poaceae. The record is from RNAcentral.
AUGUUCCAACAAGUGUCGGGAUGGAGGAGAGCGCUGGAGGAGGGCAUGUGGUUGUUUGACAAAGAGUUGUUGGUAAUGGAGGAUUUUGAUCCGGACAAGACGGUGGAUGAAUAUGACUUCAAUUUGAUCCCUAUGUGGAUCCGUGUGUUUGGACUCCCUCCGGGCCAGAUGAACAGGGCGACGGGAGAGCGGAUCGGUGCUGAUUUCCAUGAGCUUGUUGAUGUGAACGUUGGGCCUGAUGGUAAAGCUAUAGGUAAAUAUCUGUGGGUCAAGGUCAGAUUGAAUAUACAAGAACCCCUGAUGAGAGGUUUCGUGCUGGAUCGGGACAAGAAGGGGGAGGAGAAGGGUGGAGAGGGGGUCGGGGUAGAAGGGGGAGAGGAGGGCCAGAGGAAGAAGAAGGGUUUGCUGUGGUGUCGUUUUGAAUAUGAGUACAUGCCCGAUUUCUGCUAUACUUGUGGUGUGAUCGGACACAGAGAGAAGGAGUGUAGGCUGAAACCUCCAAGGGGAGAAGCGCCGCAAUAUGGGCCAUGGCUGAGAGCGGAAGAGACAAACCACAGGAGACUUGAUGUUGUUGCUCAUGGUAAAGGACAGGGCAGCAGGAACUUCAGUGAGAGCAAAAGUAGUCAGGAGAGGAGAAGGAAAUAUGGCUGGGGCAGCGGGUCGCGGGGUUCAGAGAGUAAUGUAAUUUCUUGGAGGAAGGGAGAGCUCGUAUCAAAGAGCAGUGAUAAAGAGAAGGGUGGGAAAGAGUGCGGAUAUGGAUUGUGUGGCUGA